GACGAAGGUGGCUAGCGUUGCUCGGAAUUACUGGGCAUAAAGCGCGCGUAGGUGGUUUUGUAAGCGAGGGAUGAAAUCCCAUGGCUCACCCAUGGAACUGUCUCUCGGACUGCAAAGCUUGAGGGCGGGAGGGGAGAGUGGAAUUCCCGGUGUAGCGGUGAAAUGCGUAGAUAUCGGGAGGAACGCCGGUGGCGAAAGCGACUCUCUGGCCCGUUCCUGACACUGAGGCGCGAAAGCUAGGGGAGCAAACAGGAUUAGAUACCCUGGUAGUCCUAGCUGUAAACGAUGGGCACUGGGUAGAGGAGGCAUCGAUACCUUCUUUGCCGAAGCUAAUGUGUUAAGUGCCCCGCCUGGGGAGUACGGUCGCAAGGCUAAA
This 376-nucleotide ribosomal RNA is filed under the name uncultured bacterium. RNAcentral describes it as "bacterial SSU rRNA". It matches the Rfam family "Bacterial small subunit ribosomal RNA", at positions 524 to 898 of the family's 1533-position model. The record is from RNAcentral.